AACGUAGGUGACAAGCGUUAUCCGGAUUUACUGGGCGUAAAGCGUGCGCAGGCGGGGGGAUAAGUGGUGUAUGGAAACGCUCGGCUUAACCGGGCGCUGUUAUGCCAGACUAUCUCUCUGGAGCGCGAGAGAGGAGCGUGGAAUUCCGGGUGUAGUGGUGAAAUGCGUAGAGAUCCGGAGGAACCCCAGAGGCGAAGGCGGCGCUCUGGCUCGCGACUGACGCUCAGACACGACAGCAUGGGGAGCGAACGGG
RNAcentral lists this ribosomal RNA (253 nucleotides) under uncultured bacterium. Its description in RNAcentral is "partial 16S ribosomal RNA". It matches the Rfam family "Bacterial small subunit ribosomal RNA", at positions 524 to 776 of the family's 1533-position model. The record is from RNAcentral.